RNAcentral lists this ribosomal RNA (458 nucleotides) under uncultured bacterium. RNAcentral describes it as "bacterial SSU rRNA". It matches the Rfam family "Bacterial small subunit ribosomal RNA", at positions 32 to 518 of the family's 1533-position model. The record is from RNAcentral.
CAUCAACGCUGGCGGCGUGCCUAACACAUGCAAGUCGAACGAGAAAGUGGAGCAAUCCAUGAGUAAAGUGGCGCACGGGUGAGUAACACGUGACUAACCUACCCUUGAGUGGGGGAUAACCUAGGGAAACCUGGGCUAAUACCGCAUAACACCUACGGGUCAAAGGAGCAAUUCGCUUUAGGAGGAGGUCGCGGCAGAUUAGUUAGUUGGCGGGGUAAUGGCCCACCAAGACGAUGAUCUGUAUCCGGCCUGAGAGGGCGCACGGACACACUGGAACUGAAACACGGUCCAGACUCCUACGGGAGGCAGCAGUGGGGAAUUUUGCGCAAUGGGGGAAACCCUGACGCAGCAACGCCGCGUGGAGGAUGAAGACCCUUGGGUCGUAAACUCCUUUCGAUCGGGACGAUAAUGACGGUACCGGAAGAAGAAGCCCCGGCUAACUUCGUGCCAGCAGCCGC